Long non-coding RNA from Sander lucioperca (pikeperch), 216 nucleotides. RefSeq lists it as uncharacterized. The transcript is spliced from 4 exons. NCBI's taxonomy places the organism in Eukaryota, Metazoa, Chordata, Actinopteri, Perciformes, Percidae. The record is from RefSeq and is a predicted model, not a curated record.
AGCAUAUGAACAUGCUGUCCUUGGUUUUAACUUAUUAAUAAUCCAAAUGUAAAAGCACAAAAACACUUAAAGGCUAAAGGUCAUGAAAAUGUAUCCAUCUUAAUUAUUAAAAAGUAUCGGUAUCGGCGAUACUGGCCCUGUAUUUACUUGGUAUUGGAUCAAUACCAAAUAUUGCAGUAUCGCACACCACUACUACGCGGGAAUAUGGUAACUGAA